Molecule: ribosomal RNA, 491 nt
Filed under: uncultured bacterium
Lineage: Bacteria
Description: partial 16S ribosomal RNA
Rfam family: Bacterial small subunit ribosomal RNA
Source: RNAcentral
AGUGAACGCUGGCGGUGGGCCUAACACAUGCAAGUCGAACGGCAGCACAGUAAGAGCUUGCUCUUACGGGUGGCGAGUGGCGGACGGGUGAGGAAUACAUCGGAAUCUACUUUUUCGUGGGGGAUAACGUAGGGAAACUUACGCUAAUACCGCAUACGACCUACGGGUGAAAGCAGGGGAUCUUCGGACCUUGCGCGAUUGAAUGAGCCGAUGUCGGAUUAGCUAGUUGGCGGGGUAAAGGCCCACCAAGGCGACGAUCCGUAGCUGGUCUGAGAGGAUGAUCGGCCACACUGGAACUGGGACACGUUCCAGACUCCUACGGGAGGCAGCAUGGGGAAUAUUGGACAAUGGGCGCAAGCCUGAUCCAGCCAUACCGCGUGGGUGAAGAAGGCCUUCGGGUUGUAAAGCCCUUUUGUUGGGAAAGAAAAGCAGCAGGUUAAUACCCCGCUGUUCUGACGGUACCCAAAGAAUAAGCACCGGCUAACUUCGUG